UACAGAGGGUGCGAGCGUUGUUCGGAAUUAUUGGGCGUAAAGGGCGCGUAGGCGGUGCGGUAAGUCACCUGUGAAAUCUCCUGGCUCAACUGGGAGCUUGCAGGCGAAACUGCCGUGCUGGAGUGUGGGAGAGGUGAGUGGAAUUCCCGGUGUAGCGGUGAAAUGCGUAGAUAUCUGGAGGAACACCGGUGGCGAAGGCGGCAUCCUGGACCAACACUGACACUGAUGAGCGAAAGCCAGGGGAGCAAACGGG
This 253-nucleotide ribosomal RNA is filed under the name uncultured bacterium. RNAcentral's name for it is "partial 16S ribosomal RNA". It matches the Rfam family "Bacterial small subunit ribosomal RNA", at positions 524 to 776 of the family's 1533-position model. The record is from RNAcentral.